Molecule: ribosomal RNA, 26 nt
Filed under: Oligonychus perseae (avocado spider mite)
Lineage: Eukaryota; Metazoa; Arthropoda; Arachnida; Trombidiformes; Tetranychidae
Also listed under: 1 other name
Description: partial 5.8S ribosomal RNA
Source: RNAcentral
ACCUACAAGCGGUGGAUCACUCGAAU